This 492-nucleotide ribosomal RNA is filed under the name uncultured bacterium. RNAcentral's name for it is "partial 16S ribosomal RNA". It matches the Rfam family "Bacterial small subunit ribosomal RNA", at positions 29 to 507 of the family's 1533-position model. The record is from RNAcentral.
AGUGAACGCUGGCGGUAGGCCUAACACAUGCAAGUCGAACGGCAGCACAGUAAGAGCUUGCUCUUACGGGUGGCGAGUGGCGGACGGGUGAGGAAUACAUCGGAAUCUACUUUUUCGUGGGGGAUAACGUAGGGAAACUUACGCUAAUACCGCAUACGACCUACGGGUGAAAGCAGGGGAUCUUCGGACCUUGCGCGAUUGAAUGAGCCGAUGUCGGAUUAGCUAGUUGGCGGGGUAAAGGCCCACCAAGGCGACGAUCCGUAGCUGGUCUGAGAGGAUGACCAGCCACACUGGAACUGAGACACGGUCCAGACUCCUACGGGAGGCAGCAGUGGGGAAUAUUGGACAAUGGGCGCAAGCCUGAUCCAGCCAUACCGCGUGGGUGAAGAAGGCCUUCGGGCUGUAAAGCCCUUUUGUUGGGAAAGAAAAGCAGCAGGUUAAUACCCCGCUGUUCUGACGGUACCCAAAGAAUAAGCACCGGCUAACUUCGUG